UUUAGUCCAUGCCACUCCAUUGUUGAACUUAUCUGAAACAUGCUAGAUAGAAAUGUUAGUCCAAUAAGAGAUAUGUUGUCAUCAAUUAUCAAAACCACCUAGGGAGCACUUGUGCUUUCAAUUUUCAACAACUUUUAUCCAUAGGGAAAAAUUAUCAUGGCCUCUGUACCUAAGUUAUCAAGUACAGGAGCUCGAUGACGUGCAUUGGUUGCAUGCUCCUGGCCUUAAAAUAGAGAAACAUGCUAUCAUAAUGGGAGCAAAGAUUGCGUGCUUUCAUUUCAAUGCUCUUAAUUUUCCAGCCCAUUAUUUACUUUCCUCGGACAUGGUAGAAACUAGAUGAUACCCCGCACGUUGCUGCGGGUACACUUGUAUCUACUACCCCUAUAAAAGAAAGAGAGGGCGGAGAACCAAGUCAUCCUAUCUAUCCAAACCUGCAAGCUGAAGGCCUACAUUCCUCUAAAACAUCAAACACGUUUUAUACUUUAAUUACCCACCAAUACCAUUGGGUUAACCCGUUCCGAAAAAACCCACUGCACCACGACCUUUGCCCACGGCACGCACGCACGAACCCCCACACGACGACCUUUCCCACACCCCGCACCUCCUCCUCCCAACGACCAGAGCAUGGUCGGGCCUUCGCCGCCGGCCGCCGCCCGCCCAUCCACGGCCAAGCCUCCGCCGCCGCUCCACGGCCAAGCCUCCGCCGCCGUUUGCAGCCGCCAUGGAAUGCCUGGAUGUCGUCAAGAUGCACGCAGGUGCAGCACCUGCAACGGAACGGAAGACCACCGAUGCUCUGCUCUUGAGACAACAGAUGCACGCAGAGGCUAGAUACAUACAUAGCAAUCGUCAGGCUCCAGUUUUGUACUGACCACUCCAAGGCUUGUUCAACCUGGUGAAUCUUUCCUUCAUCUGCAUCAUUUUUCGCUUCAGUCUGUACAUCCUCGCCCUCCGCCCGCCGAUCCUAUUCUCCGCCGCCCGCCUUCCUCUGCUCCUCCUCUGCCGCCAACGAUCUCAUCUGAGCCAGUACAGAAUAUUGCCACUCAUCAACAUCUGCAACAUCUAAGGUCCUUUUCGUCACAUAUUCAUAUUUACUUGAGAUUCUGCUUACUUUGUUUGCACCAUUUAAUAAUUGAGCUUCUCAAUAUUGCAUGAAUAUUUCUAAUGAUGUACGAUGUUCCCCAUUUCUUUAACAUCCCUGGCAUGUGUGUGCUCCA
Molecule: non-coding RNA, 1214 nt
Organism: Triticum urartu
Lineage: Eukaryota; Viridiplantae; Streptophyta; Magnoliopsida; Poales; Poaceae
Source: RefSeq, a predicted model, not a curated record